CCAGGCUGACGCCAUCCCCUCCUGUCCCAGCUCCUGGCCCCCUGCCCUGCCCUGCCCGGCACUGAGGCACUGAAGGCAGUCACCAAAGGCCGAAGCAACUGAGCUGCUCAGAGCAGAGCAGAGCAGGAAGGGCUUUCGGGCAGCUGAGUCCAUUGACAGGAACGGGCAGUCUCAGUCUCUGAGGGCUUCUAAGAAGGGGGCAGAGGCCACGCUGCCCCAGGCAGCACUGGGCACCAACCCCAACUUCCUUGUUCCCGGAGAGGGUGGGGUUGGAAGAAGGAAGAUUUGGGCUUCUGGAAUGGCCUCCAGCUCAGAGCACAAACAGGGCAGUGCCAGAGCCCCUGUUGGGUCAGGUUUGGAACAUUUAUAUUCCUUGUCCCUCAGAGCGCAGGCCCUCCACCUCCAGGAAGCCCUGCCUGCCUGCCCCAGCUUCCUUCUCUUUUCCUCCCUAGGUAGCAACUCAAUUCGAGGACCACCACCGAAAGGCAUUCUGGGCGGCAGAGCAACCAAGACCAAUGAGCCCCGCCCUCUGAGGACUGCAACACUAAGCUGGACCAGGAAGAGAACACAGGGAGCACAAAUACACACUUCUCCACUGGAGCAUGGAGGGAAAAUAUUCUAGCUAAAAUGCCCAGACUUAGCUAGGCUGAAGCAAGGCCUAGACCUCAAGCAGGCAGAUGCUGGUUGAGCACGGGCCCAUCCCUCAGCCUUUCUGUGCCUCGGUUUCCCUGGAGGAAGAGUGGAGUCAAACACAGGGAGCCUUGGAGCUGGGCAGGCUCUCCCUCUCCAGAGGUUCACGGCAGCUCACGACGUACCCUGGCCUGAACCUGCAUUUGAGAGGCACGUGAGACGCUCCUGAGGAGAAAGACACAGCCUUGCCAAGAUGGGGUGGCCUAGAAGGUGUUCAAGAGUACAUACUCCCCCCCCCCAGACCUCCCCAGUGCAAGCUGAGGCUUCAAGGGAUGGUUGGACAUCAGGGUCACUCUUGACUUCUAGCCCUAGCCGGCCACCUCUCAGAGCACGGCCCUGCUCUCGCCACGCCCUCAGACUCCUUGGACAUCUCAGUGUAACGUGCAAGCUUGGCCACUGGCUCUCGGGCUCAGAGUCCAAGUCCUGUUCAGUCUUCUGAGAUCUGGCAGGGAAGGACCCCAGUCCUGGAGCUCCAGGGGACCCUUUGAAGGAACCCUGAGGCUGCCAAGGGAAUUACAAACAUAAAAAUAAAGUACACCUGCCUCUCCUUUCUUCAAAACGAACCAGUCUGGUGUAGAAUCUGACAUUCUGAAUCUGAACCAACGUUUGUUUUAACUCCACACAGUUGAUGUGGUGGUGAACACCUAGCUCCUUGGAGGGCUGAGGCAGGGGAAUGGAGAGUUCAAGGCCAACUGAAGCUGCAUAGUGAGACUUAUGUACAUGGUUCCAGGCAUGAGACCAGCCCUGAGCAAACCUGACAGGAAUGCGGAGCCUCAGGCCCCUCACCACUGAGAAGCAUCAAGCUAGUCCCCAGGUCCCAGAGCAGCGGGGACACAGACCCAGAACAGCAAAUGAGAGGGAGCAGGGAUUCCAGGAGGGUCUACACCUCGGUGACCAGAGGUGGCAAAUGCCUUCCUUGGGGUGCCUCGUCUCAUCCUUUCCCUCUCCUAUGAGGGGAUCUGAAAGACAGGUAACAGACAGGAAGGCUGAAGCCGAGGCAAAGGCUCAGACGUCCCUGGAGCUGGCCUAACUAACCCCGCAAGGUUCCUGGUUCUACCAAACAGCAGGUUUGCCAUUGUCUGCAUACCCUCCAAGGCAGGGAAGGACGGCAUUGCCCUGCCAUGCGAUGGAUGAGGGGCCUGGGCUCAGGCUUGGGAGCCAUGGGUGAAGCCUGCUGCCAGGGGACGGCACCUCAGAGAAGCAGCGGUAAGGGUUACUGUUGACCUGGGGUGACUAGUCCUGGCAGUAUCCUCAGUGGGCAUCAAGUCUGCCUGAAAGACUUCAGGUCCCUCCCAAGGGCUGCCCUCUGGGGGAAUUUGGGGCCAUCUCAAAGGAACAGUAGCUGGACCCAGGAAGCUCCUGAUUGGCCUCUGCCCAAGGCAGGAAGCAUGGAUUCCACCACACUAGAGCCUUGGCCCUCUGCUGGAGAGCAUAUAUCUGCACCACCCCUCACCAACGGUGGGGAGGAGCCCUCCUCUCUGAUAGGGUGUGGGGCAUGGGGGUCACAUGCAUCCCUGGGAUAGUCAGGAACGGAGAGAAAACGAGACCUCCCCUCUAGCUGCCAGCUGGGGAAGAACCAGAUGGUAGCCCUGGCCCUCCAGGUCACCCUGAUGUCUCCAAAGCCUGAGGUCUUCAGCAGGGACCCUCCCAACUCUUCUAAUUCCCUAUUGUGCAGGGGAAACGGGGCCUUUGCCUUCCCCUGCUGGAGAAAACUGGGUCCCUACCUAAAAUGAGGCAGAAGGCAUCUUGACUGUUGCUCCCAGAUGUCUUGUUCACAGGGGGAAUCCUCAGUCAACACACAAUCCUUCCCCGCCCCCACAGAGACCUGACCUCCUCAGCAGCACCCCUCAGCAGCACUCCUCCAUGCCCCAGGGGUCUCAGACUCAGCCACAGACAGAGAGCAGGGAGGACCGUCCCUCCAAGAGGAGGGACCAGAGGGUGGAGGGAUGAACAGCGACCCACCGGGAGAGAGAUGCCAGGCAGGCAG
Mesocricetus auratus (golden hamster) is the source of this 2677-nucleotide long non-coding RNA. RefSeq lists it as uncharacterized. NCBI's taxonomy places the organism in Eukaryota, Metazoa, Chordata, Mammalia, Rodentia, Cricetidae. The transcript has 4 exons. The record is from RefSeq and is a predicted model, not a curated record.